CCUACGGGGGGCUGCAGUGGGGAAUAUUGGACAAUGGGCGAAAGCCUGAUCCAGCCAUGCCGCGUGUGUGAAGAAGGCCUUCGGGUUGUAAAGCACUUUCAGUGGGGAAGAAAGCCUUGGGGCUAAUACCCUCGAGGAAGGACAUCACCCACAGAAGAAGCCCCGGCUAACUCCGUGCCAGCAGCCGCGGUAAUACGGAGGGUGCGAGCGUUAAUCGGAAUUACUGGGCGUAAAGCGCGCGUAGGCGGUCUGAUAAGCCGGUUGUGAAAGCCCCGGGCUCAACCUGGGAACGGCAUCCGGAACUGUCAGGCUAGAGUGCAGGAGAGGAAGGUAGAAUUCCCGGUGUAGCGGUGAAAUGCGUAGAGAUCGGGAGGAAUACCAGUGGCGAAGGCGGCCUUCUGGACUGACACUGACGCUGAGGUGCGAAAGCGUGGGUAGCAAACAGGAUUAGAUACCCUAGUAGUC
Molecule: ribosomal RNA, 465 nt
Filed under: Vreelandella stevensii
Lineage: Bacteria; Pseudomonadati; Pseudomonadota; Gammaproteobacteria; Oceanospirillales; Halomonadaceae
Description: partial 16S ribosomal RNA
Rfam family: Bacterial small subunit ribosomal RNA
Source: RNAcentral